GAUGAAGAACGUAGCGAAAUGCGAUAAGUAAUGUGAAUUGCAGAAUUCAGUGAAUCAUCGAAUCUUUGAACGCACAUUGCGCCCGCCAGUAUUCUGGCGGGCAUGCCUGUUCGAGCGUCAUUACAACCCUCAGGCCCCCGGGCCUGGCGUUGGGGAUCGGCGGAAGCCCCCUGCGGGCACAACGCCGUCCCCCAAAUACAGUGGCGGUCCCGCCGCAGCUUCCAUUGCGUAGUAGCUAACACCUCGCGACUGGAGAGCGGCGCGGCCACGCCGUAAAACACCCAACUUCUGAAUGUUGACCUCGAAUCAGGUAGGAAUACCCGCUGAACUUAAGCAUAUCAAUAAGCGGAGGA
RNAcentral lists this unclassified non-coding RNA (353 nucleotides) under soil metagenome. Its description in RNAcentral is "partial contains 5.8S ribosomal RNA, internal transcribed spacer 2, and large subunit ribosomal RNA". The stretch from base 1 to 120 matches the Rfam family "5.8S ribosomal RNA", at positions 35 to 154 of the family's 154-position model. The record is from RNAcentral.